This 253-nucleotide ribosomal RNA is filed under the name uncultured bacterium. Its description in RNAcentral is "partial 16S ribosomal RNA". It matches the Rfam family "Bacterial small subunit ribosomal RNA", at positions 524 to 776 of the family's 1533-position model. The record is from RNAcentral.
UACGUAGGGUGCGAGCGUUGUCCGGAAUUAUUGGGCGUAAAGGGCUCGUAGGCGGUUUGUCGCGUCGGGAGUGAAAACCCAGGGCUUAACCCUGGGCUGGCUUCCGAUACGGGCAGACUAGAGGUAUGCAGGGGAGAACGGAAUUCCUGGUGUAGCGGUGAAAUGCGCAGAUAUCAGGAGGAACACCGGUGGCGAAGGCGGUUCUCUGGGCAUUACCUGACGCUGAGGAGCGAAAGUGUGGGGAGCAAGCAGG